CUAUAUCAUAUUCUUACAGAAUUUACAAAGCAUUAUUCUUUUGCAGGGAAAUUCUGCAGAUCCAUUACAAUGGAUCUUACUUCUGUUUGCAGCUUCUUUGGCGCACUACUGCCCCAAUCAGACAGGCGCAAGUGGCUACAACCCUGAAGACCCAGCCACUUCUAGCCAGUUUGAACUGCCUCCAGCAGCUGCAGGAGGGCUUUACCAGAUGACAUGCUCAGAGCAACAACCAACCAAACAAAAAGGAUUCUAAGCAUUACUGGGCUUUUAUUUGGCCUUGGAAAGGGUGUAGGUAGAGGUAUUAAUUGAAAUAGGAUAUUCAGCUGUGUUAACACUACCUCUUUAGCCCUGAAAAAGUAUUUUUACAAACAGGGCAUCUUCAAGGGCCUGGUCUGUGUGUCGUGCUACGUUACUGGCCUGCAUGGAACAGGCAAAGCAUGCCUCCAACCAACAAUAACUAGUGCUCAUUCAUUCAGAGUCACUCAUCUCCCUGUCUUCUCAUUGUUUCUGUUUUCCCUUCAUGGAAAUGCACUCCUUUUAGACACCCUGUUGUAAUGGCUCUGUGGACUUUCCCUGUGAAAAAUAC
This is a non-coding RNA of Chrysemys picta bellii (western painted turtle), 586 nucleotides long. The record is from RefSeq and is a predicted model, not a curated record. Lineage: Eukaryota; Metazoa; Chordata; Testudines; Emydidae.